RNAcentral lists this unclassified non-coding RNA (165 nucleotides) under soil metagenome. RNAcentral's name for it is "partial internal transcribed spacer 1". The record is from RNAcentral.
CAGAGUUACAAAACUCCCAAACCCUUGUGAACCUACCUGUACGUCGUUGCUAUCGGCGGGUAGCCCCACACCGGGGCCGUGCCUCCUAGCGAGGUGCCCGCCGGAGGACCACUUUAAAAACUCUUGCAAUUUGUGGCCAUCUCUGAGUAUUAUAUAAAUAAGUCA